GGGGGGGGGGUGCUAUACAUGCAAGUCGAGCGGACUUGUAGGAGCUUGCUCCUGCAGGUUAGCGGCGGACGGGUGAGUAACACGUGGGCAACCUACCUGUAAGACUGGGAUAACUUCGGGAAACCGGAGCUAAUACCGGAUGACAUAAAGGAACUCCUGUUCCUUUAUUGAAAGAUGGCUUCGGCUAUCACUUACAGAUGGGCCCGCGGCGCAUUAGCUAGUUGGUGAGGUAACGGCUCACCAAGGCGACGAUGCGUAGCCGACCUGAGAGGGUGAUCGGCCACACUGGGACUGAGACACGGCCCAGACUCCUACGGGAGGCAGCAGUAGGGAAUCUUCCGCAAUGGACGAAAGUCUGACGGAGCAACGCCGCGUGAACGAUGAAGGCCUUCGGGUCGUAAAGUUCUGUUGUUAGGGAAGAACAAGUGCUAGUUGAAUAAGCUGGCACCUUGACGGUACCUAACCAGAAAGCCACGGCUAACUACGUGCCAGCAGCCGCGGUAAUACGUAGGUGGCAAGCGUUGUCCGGAAUUAUUGGGCGUAAAGCGCGCGCAGGCGGUUUCUUAAGUCUGAUGUGAAAGCCCCCGGCUCAACCGGGGAGGGUCAUUGGAAACUGGGAAACUUGAGUGCAGAAGAGGAAAGUGGAAUUCCAAGUGUAGCGGUGAAAUGCGUAGAGAUUUGGAGGAACACCAGUGGCGAAGGCGACUUUCUGGUCUGUAACUGACGCUGAGGCGCGAAAGCGUGGGGAGCAAACAGGAUAGACCCC
Molecule: ribosomal RNA, 766 nt
Filed under: Gottfriedia acidiceleris
Lineage: Bacteria; Bacillati; Bacillota; Bacilli; Caryophanales; Bacillaceae
Description: bacterial SSU rRNA
Rfam family: Bacterial small subunit ribosomal RNA
Source: RNAcentral